RNAcentral lists this ribosomal RNA (469 nucleotides) under uncultured eukaryote. RNAcentral's name for it is "partial 18S ribosomal RNA". It matches the Rfam family "Eukaryotic small subunit ribosomal RNA", at positions 522 to 879 of the family's 1831-position model. The record is from RNAcentral.
AAUUUAAAUCCCUUAACAAGUAACAAUUAGAGGGCAAGUCUGGUGCCAGCAGCCGCGGUAAUUCCAGCUCUAAUAGUCGUAUAUUAAUAUUGUUGCAGUUAAAAAGCUCGUAGUUGAAAUUUGGGACUUUAUUAUAUUGGUUUAUUUUUGAUGAACUGUAUAAUGGGUUUCUUCCUACUAGAGUUCGAUUCUGUUCUUAAUUGAAUGGAGUAGCUAUCUUUCGGGGUGGUCAAUUGGUUGUUAUAUCUCCACUAAUGAGCAGAGAGGGGUAAAACCUUCAAAGUAAGUUAUGUGGGGUCAAGGUAUGGUGAUUAAUUGGAGUUCUAGUUCAUUUACUUUGAGAAAAUUAGAGUGUUUAAAGCAGCCUCUUGGGGGCACUGAAUACAUUAGCAUGGGGAUAAUAAAAUAGGAUCUUCACAAUAUAUUUUAUUGGUUUAAAUUGGAUAUGAAGAUAAUGAUUAAUAGGGAC